UCUCAGUGCAACAUCCGCCUAAUAACACGCCCAAGCUUAGAGAUCAACUCCAGCCUUAACAUAAGCAUGCGCCCGUGCAAGAUUUGCAUCGUCGGUAGGAUGCGAACUCCCGUGAUAAGAACUUUCCGCCACACCACCUCAAGCAAUACAACCGAAUGACAUUGCCCUCAGAGUGCAACAUCCGAUCAUUAGCACGUUGGAGCACA
Molecule: long non-coding RNA, 206 nt
Filed under: Ricinus communis (castor bean)
Lineage: Eukaryota; Viridiplantae; Streptophyta; Magnoliopsida; Malpighiales; Euphorbiaceae
Description: long non-coding RNA (RCOM_LNC003839)
Source: RNAcentral